This 253-nucleotide ribosomal RNA is filed under the name uncultured bacterium. Its description in RNAcentral is "partial 16S ribosomal RNA". It matches the Rfam family "Bacterial small subunit ribosomal RNA", at positions 524 to 776 of the family's 1533-position model. The record is from RNAcentral.
UACAGAGGUGGCAAGCGUUGUUCGGAAUUACUGGGCGUAAAGGGCGCGUAGGCGGUUCGUUAAGUCCUGUGUGAAAUCCCCCGGCUCAACUGGGGAACUGCACAGGAAACUAGCGGGCUUGAGUUCGGGAGAGGGAAGCGGAAUUCCGGGUGUAGCGGUGAAAUGCGUAGACAUCCAGGGGAACGCCGGUGGAGAAAUCGGGUCGCUGGGUCUUUCCUGACGCUGAGGUGCGAAAGCCAGGGGAGCGAACGGG